This 53-nucleotide non-coding RNA is filed under the name Trypanosoma lewisi. The record is from RNAcentral. Lineage: Eukaryota; Euglenozoa; Kinetoplastea; Trypanosomatida; Trypanosomatidae.
AUAUAUAUAAUCAAACACAAUUGAUGAGGUGUCGAUGUAAACAAAUAAUGUAU